Small nucleolar RNA from Impatiens glandulifera, 100 nucleotides. NCBI's taxonomy places the organism in Eukaryota, Viridiplantae, Streptophyta, Magnoliopsida, Ericales, Balsaminaceae. The record is from RefSeq and is a predicted model, not a curated record.
GUUUGAAGCGAUGAUGAUAAACCUUUUAUUCCAGCUCACUAUGAGACCUAUGUGGUCAGCGAUUAUAAUCCUUUCCAACAUUCUAUCUGAGCUUCUUUGC